This 543-nucleotide ribosomal RNA is filed under the name uncultured bacterium. RNAcentral's name for it is "bacterial SSU rRNA". It matches the Rfam family "Bacterial small subunit ribosomal RNA", at positions 355 to 896 of the family's 1533-position model. The record is from RNAcentral.
UGGGGAAUAUUGCACAAUGGGCGAAAGCCUGAUGCAGCGACGCCGCGUGAGGGAUGGAGGCCUUCGGGUUGUAAACCUCUUUCGCUCAUGGUCAAGCCGCAACGUAUGGUUGUGGUGAGGGUAGUGGGUAAAGAAGCGCCGGCUAACUACGCGCCAGCAGCCGCGGUAAUACGUAGGGCGCGAGCGUUGUCCGGAAUUAUUGGGCGUAAAGGGCUUGUAGGCGGUUGGUCGCGUCUGCCGUGAAAUCCUCUGGCUUAACUGGGGGCGUGCGGUGGGUACGGGCUGACUUGAGUGCGGUAGGGGAGACUGGAACUCCUGGUGUAGCGGUGGAAUGCGCAGAUAUCAGGAAGAACACCGGUGGCGAAGGCGGGUCUCUGGGCCGUUACUGACGCUGAGGAGCGAAAGCGUGGGGAGCGAACAGGAUUAGAUACCCUGGUAGUCCACGCUGUAAACGUUGGGCACUAGGUGUGGGGGCCACCCGUGGUUUCUGCGCCGUAGCUAACGCUUUAAGUGCCCCGCCUGGGGAGUACGGCCGCAAGGCUA